Molecule: long non-coding RNA, 2951 nt
Organism: Camelus dromedarius (Arabian camel)
Lineage: Eukaryota; Metazoa; Chordata; Mammalia; Artiodactyla; Camelidae
Exons: 4
Source: RefSeq, a predicted model, not a curated record
GGGCGGCGCCCAGGCGGGAGGGGUCCGCGUGUGUCCGCCCCGCUGGAGCGGGAGCCUCGGUCCUCCGAGGCCGGCGGGUUGCCGCGGUGCCGGAGGCUCCUCCCUGAUUCUGCCCUCUCCGUAGGUGACUCUGGGUGAAAUUGGGGCUCGUUUCAGGAGCGCGGGCCUGAGGGGUCUGGAGGAGAGGCCGGGAGGCCAGGUGGAGGCUGUUAGAGAAGCCAAGGCAAGAGAUGAGGGACACUAACCCGGGGCGCAAAUCUCCGGAAAGAUGGGCCCGGGAUAGACUCAGGAUGUGGAAUAGGCAGCGGUGGGGACCGCUGGACGCGGGGCACGAGGGAGGGGGCGACGGGACAGGAAGGAACACGGCGGGGUGGGAGGCCGGGCUGAGUGUUGGCCGUGCCCAGCUGUCUGCGACAGUCAGAUGAAACGCCUUGUGAUCGCGUAUCCUCUCUACCCAAACACGAGUCAGUUGUGAAAGCGGUGAGGGCAGAGAUUCAGAUUCUUGAAUUCCAGUGAAGCCAUCCACCAUCUCUUGCCUUUUUGGCAAAAAAACAGUUUCUACAUUUAAUUGAGCCCUGACAUGUGCCAGGCACCAUUCCAAGCACCUUUCGUGUAUUCAGUAGUUUAAUCUUGAUAACACCAGUAUCAAGUGGGUACCUUUAGCUCCACUUCAUGCAUGAGGAAAGGCACAGAGACGGUCAGCAUCUUGCCAAGUUCGCGCCAGGGGUAAUGGGGCCAGAAUUUGAAUUCAGGAAUGCUUUGCCAAGAAGCUGAAUUUUAAGUGAGUUUUUGUAGACUUUCUCAAUUUUAUCGCAUGUUGGUGCCCAGAAGAAAUUGUCUUUCCCAGCUCUGCAAGUUUCUACAUUUCUGGAUUCUUUAAUUCCUUUCAUUCUUGCCUGCAAACCAAGCUCAUUUCUGGCCAAAUGCAGCCAGCAACAAAGGACACCUAAAUUUAAGAAGCAAAUAGAUAUGCAAGAACUCAAGGCCAGUCAAAAGAGGAGGAAAGGAAAGAGACUAACGAAAGAAUGUCAGAGUACAUCGUGCAACUGAGAGGAAAUCUGAAGUGUCUACUGUACACAAGUCAGGAGACACUGAUGAAUUCAGGAGAGAAAUUUCACUAGAGCAUGGGCGAGGGGGAAGGGAGUGCAGAGCCGAGGAAGGAACAGGACAAGGAAUAGUGGGGAAUGUAGUCAACUCUUCAAAAGGCUGAGAAAGGAAGGAGGUCAGAGGGGUACAAGAUGAAGGGAAAUAUUUUAGUAAGACUGAACAUGUUCACAGGCUGAAGGAAGGCAGCUAACCAGGAAGCUGAAGAUAAGAGAGAAAAAAGUGCUAGUCCUGGAGGCAGUGAGAAGGCCUGAGGUUAAGAGCAAAGGUGGGAACAGUGCAGGGGGGGAGGGGUUGAAAAGUAGGGGCGAGUUUCAUUUUCUAAAUCUAUAUGGAAGGCUAUAAGGAUGGGAGCUGGAGGGGCCCAGGGACAACUGACCAGGUGACUCACCUCAAGCACUCCUUGGACCCACAUGUAGCAGUUAGCGGGUUUAUUUCCAGGCAGAUACAGUCAGAGACAAGAUGACGCCCCACACGGCUGGUGGUGCCCACACACAGAGGACCAGUGCUGAGGCAGCAGUUCAGCCUCCUCUACUCUCACUAAAAGCAGCGUAUGGUGCGACAUGGAGCAGCAGCCACGGCUCCUCCAAGUGCGCUGGGCAGACAGACGCAACAGAUGCCCUAACAGCAUGUCUUAGUCGCGAAAGAAGUGCCCAAUAAAGACUAAAUAUUUGAGGAAUGCCAUCUCCAUGAAAGUGAGAUAGUGCCUGCGACAAACAGAACUCAGAACUAAGGGGGAAAAGUGAGAGAGCUAUUGGAGUAAGUCUUCAAUAGAGUGGCUGCUCUGCAUACCACCACAGACACGAGCUGAUGAAGUCUUCUGACACCGCCAUCCGCCUCUUCAAGCGAAGCAGGCGGCCUCCCCGCACCUAGUUCCCUUUCCCUUCUCCACUUUGAAGUAUCACCGUCUUGAGGGCCAAACGGCAUGAUUUUUUACUUCAGCAUCAAAUAUGACUUACAAAGAUGCUUUUGUAUCAUCUCCUUUCUGCUCCAAGAACCUCUCCUGGCCGGUCUUCACGGGCAGGAUCAAGAUGAUAUGAAUGCUGGAUAUUCCGUUACUGCCCCCACGGUGACCAGUCUGGCCAGGCACGCGGCAAGCACACUGGAUGCCACCUGCAUCUGCUUCUCCGUCGAGAGCCUGGUGCUCACCAGGAACACAGGGCUUCUCUUCCCAGACGCCGACUCGAGGCUGAAACCUCUGAGGACGAGGCUCUUUCACAGCGCUGCGCCCAGCUUCUGGCUCCCAACGUCCUCCUGGUGAGGGGAGGCAGGCAUGUGGGUGAACAGGGCUGCCGAGGUGGGAACAUAUUUUCAAAGAGAGCUGUCUGACAACGAGUGGUUUAAGAGACCAAAUCAUCCUUCCUGCAAGCACCAGGCAGCGCACGGGAAGCAGCAGUUGUGGGGGAGUGGGCUGACACUGAGGUGCCAAAAACCCAACACAGACAAGUGUGUCCUGCCCGGCCGGGGAGACCUGACAGGCCUCACACAGGGGUCUGAGCAGGGAAAGGACAUUCCUGGAUGUGAACUAUGGGGAGAGCAGGUGAGGAGCCAGGCCGCACAAGCUCGCAGUCUCUCCUGCGGCUGCCCUGCCCAGCACCUGUCCCGGCCUGCGGGGCACGGGGCCUGGCCGGAGUCUCUCCCCCAGCACUGGGGACCCUUGGGACACGGACUGUUUCUUCCAACCAGCCACAAGAUUUUAAAAAACAAAAAACCACAGUGAAUUUACCGGAAGAAUUCCAGCCCAGUGAAUUUGGCAAUGAAAAUGAAGCCUAAAAUGGGAUUUUAAGAGGUUAUGUUAGUUCUUUAUACAGUUUAACAUGAAUAAACAGACAUUCUUAACAAUGCAA